UAAUAGUCUCAUUUUACAGAUGUGGAAAAUGAGGCUCAGAAAAGUUAACGUGCCCAAGAUCACACAGCUGCUAAAUGACAGAGCCACAAUUCAACCCACAUAGUCAUCUCUAGAAGCAAAGUUCCAGUAAAGGGAUUGAUGACUGGUCACCGUCGUCACGAACCUGACCUUUCCUGCAGCACUGCCUGGUACUUUCCCAGUACAGUGUUCUGCCCUGACACAGCCAAGGCCAAGGGCAGUGUAGGCACAGCAGCCGUGACUCUCUGCUGGGAGGUUAACAGCUCCAUCAGUUCAGGGACUGCCUGACCCAGCCUGACCAAAUUAGAGCAAGUAAUGGAUGUGACAUAAUUUGACAUGUACAUUGUUAAUUGAACCCAGUGGGAGAUGAUUUUAAAUAGAGGCGAAUACCACGCUGUGAACUAUUUGGGUUAUGAAGCUCUUAUUCUCUUAUGCUUGCAGGAGAAAGAAUUGUGCCAUGAAAAAUGGAAAACUCCCGAGAAGCUGUUCCAGCGUCAGGAGAGCAGCAGACAAGCUGGACUGGGGAAGAUUCUUCCUGGAAGUUUCGGAGAUGUCACUCUCAUUUCCUAGCAUCUGACCCCCAAAUCCUCUCAAAGCCCAAAUCAAGAACCACAGACUCUAGUCAUCUUUCCCCCAGAGACUUCCUAACUGGGGGACCGGAAACCCCAAUUACAAAGCCUGCCCUGGCAAGACCUGCAGAGUGUGCGACACAUACCAGCACCCAAGAAAUGUCUACCGAGGAAUUAAUGAAUGAGGUAAGUUGAAUGAGUGAAGCAAAGGUUUUUCAGGAAAUCCCGCGCCUUACCGCAAACCAGUAAGCCUAAUACUGGGUUUCAGGCUACUGAAAAUGACAUUUGAGAGCAAUAGACCUUUUGGGAGCAAUUUGCCUUUUAAAAAAUUAAAGUCCUUUAAAUAACAUUACCUGGUGAGGAUGACCAGGAAAAACAUAGGGCAUAGGGCGGCCUCCCCACAGGCAUUUUUCUUCUUUUCUCUUUCCUAUCAGGGUCCCAUACUUCCCAGCCAUGCUGUUGGCAGGGAUUCACAUAGUCGCAAUUCUCUGGGUACACCUUGGGACAUUUAAGCCAACCAGUGACCCCCAUCAUCCUAGCCCCAGAGAUUGGCUUAGGGAUAGUGACCCAAAGCAGGCCAAUGCAAGGUGACUUUGCCAGGGGCUUCUGGGAAAGAAGUUUCCUUUCUCUGAGGAAACGUGAAUGAGAACAUCCAUAACGCAGGUGGUGUCUGGCAGCCAUCUUGUGAUCAUCUGGCAAGACAGCCCAAGAAUAAAGCUGCCACCAUGGUAGACUAAGAAGACACAGAGAGACACUGGGUCUUCAUUGACUCGACCAGCUGCACAUGAGGCCUUACCUGAAGCCCACGUGACCUCUGCACUUCUCACAUGACAGAAUAAAGCUCUUUUUUGUUUAGACCAAAUAAACACAUAAUGCAAUUACAUAAUCCCUUGAUUCCUUUUUAUGACUGAGCUCAGAGACUGUAUUUUGUCAUUUUUAAAUCACCUUUAUCUUACAGUUUAUUUAACUGAAACAAAUAAACCAAAACACGCCA
Long non-coding RNA from Cercocebus atys (sooty mangabey), 1581 nucleotides. RefSeq lists it as uncharacterized. Lineage: Eukaryota; Metazoa; Chordata; Mammalia; Primates; Cercopithecidae. The record is from RefSeq and is a predicted model, not a curated record. The transcript is spliced from 2 exons.